CCACAUAAUCAUAUUUCAACCACAACAUCUCACCUCAAUACAUCCGUGAACUAACAGCACAAGUAAGGGAUUCAAACCAACAUAUAAACAAGUCAAACAGCACAAUCACAGAGAAGUAAUACAAGGAAACACAACCAAAUACAAAUGUGCAAACAACAUGAUGCAUGUCUAUUCCUAAUGCAGGCCAUGAGCUCAUGUGUCGGUUGCC
Molecule: long non-coding RNA, 208 nt
Filed under: Arachis ipaensis
Lineage: Eukaryota; Viridiplantae; Streptophyta; Magnoliopsida; Fabales; Fabaceae
Description: long non-coding RNA (AIPA_LNC002069)
Source: RNAcentral